UCGAGGGGCAGCGGGGGCGAAGCUUGCUUCGCCUGCCGGCGACCGGCGCACGGGUGAGUAACACGUAUGCGACCUGCCCCCCGCAGGGGGAUAACCGGGAGAAAUCCCGACUAAUACCGCGUAACGCCGCUGGGCUGCAUGGCCCGGCGGCCAAAGGAAGCGAUUCCGGCGGGGGAUGGGCAUGCGGCGCAUUAGCUAGUCGGCGGGGUAACGGCCCACCGAGGCGACGAUGCGUAGGGGUUCUGAGAGGAAGGUCCCCCACACUGGUACUGAGACACGGACCAGACUCCUACGGGAGGCAGCAGUGAGGAAUAUUGGUCAAUGGGCGGGAGCCUGAACCAGCCAAGUCGCGUGAGGGAAGACGGUCCUACGGAUUGUAAACCUCUUUUGCCGGGGAGCAACGGGGUCCUUGCGAGGGCCCGAUGAGAGUACCCGGAGAAAAAGCAUCGGCUAACUCCGUGCCAGCAGCCGCGGUAAUACGGAGGAUGCGAGCGUUAUCCGGAUUUAUUGGGUUUAAAGGGUGCGUAGGCGGGCUGUUAAGUCAGCGGUCAAAUGUCGGGGCUCAACCCCGGCCUGCCGUUGAAACUGGCGGCCUCGAGUGGGCGAGAAGUAUGCGGAAUGCGUGGUGUAGCGGUGAAAUGCAUAGAUAUCAGAGCAGAACUCCGAUUGCGAAGGCAGCAUACCGGCGCCCGACUGACGCUGAGGCACGAAAGCGUGGGUAUCUAAAAGGAUUAGAUACCCUGGUAGUCCACGCAGUAAAC
This 761-nucleotide ribosomal RNA is filed under the name uncultured bacterium. RNAcentral's name for it is "bacterial SSU rRNA". It matches the Rfam family "Bacterial small subunit ribosomal RNA", at positions 62 to 807 of the family's 1533-position model. The record is from RNAcentral.